GCGGAGGAAAAGAAAAUAACAAUGAUUUCCCUAGUAACGGCGAGUGAAGAGGAAAGAGCUCAAAGUUGGAAACUGUUUGGCUUAGCUAAACCGUAUUGUAAACUGUAGAAACAUUUUCCUGGCACGCCGGAUUAAUAAGUCCUUUGGAACAAGGCAUCAUGGAGGGUGAGAAUCCCGUCUUUGAUCCGAGUAGUUGUCUUUUGUGAUAUGUUUUCAAAGAGUCAGGUUGUUUGGGAAUGCAGCCUAAAUUGGGUGGUAAAUCUCACCUAAAGCUAAAUAUUUGCGAGAGACCGAUAGCGAACAAGUACCGUGAGGGAAAGAUGAAAAGAACUUUGAAAAGAGAGUUAAACAGUAUGUGAAAUUGUUAAAAGGGAACCGUUUGGAGCCAGACUGGUUUGACUGUAAUCAACCUAGAAUUCGUUCUGGGUGCACUUGCAGUCUAUACCUGCCAACAACAGUUUGAUUUGGAGGAAAAAAUUAGUAGGAAUGUAGCCUCUCGAGGUGUUAUAGCCUACUAUCAUACUCUGGAUUGGACUGAGGAACGCAGCGAAUGCCAUUAGGCGAGAUUGCUGGGUGCUUUCGCUAAUAAAUGUUAGAAUUUCUGCUUCGGGUGGUGCUAAUGUUUAAAGGAGGAACACAUCUAGUAUAUUUUUUAUUCGCUUAGGUUGUUGGCUUAAUGACUCUAAAUGAC
Molecule: ribosomal RNA, 691 nt
Filed under: Mucor circinelloides
Lineage: Eukaryota; Fungi; Mucoromycota; Mucoromycetes; Mucorales; Mucoraceae
Description: eukaryotic LSU rRNA
Rfam family: Eukaryotic large subunit ribosomal RNA
Source: RNAcentral